AAAGCUGGAAAACCCCUAAGUAAAUGCAAUAUCGAUAGAAAGCGAGUUUCUUGAAGAGUCAUCUGCUAAACUCCACUACAGUCAUCUCUACAGGUGUGGUUAAGAGAAAAAAAAAUUGCCAUUAAGGAAUCAGCAAAUAGGAUGUCUGAAGUGAGGAUAUAGCACCUAUCUCUGAGAUUAAAGUCAUCUGAUCAAAAAUGAUGCCUCUGAGACUAUAACAAAGGAAUGAAUAAUGAAAUAUAAGAAUGGGGAUUCUGCACUAACUCUAUGGGGAAGAAAACAAUGGUAAGAGCAAAAGGAUCAACAUCAGCAACUCCUGUUUCCAUCGAUUUCUUUAUAAGAUGCCGUCUACAUGAUUCCAAAAUAUCCCAGCCUUUUUCUCCCCUGUCAAGCUUCCCUGUCUCUAAAAGAGAUCUUGCUCUUCCUGCACAGAAAGAAAUAAUAAUAUAUCACUGAGAUAUUAUUAUUACAUUUAAAGUUACUUACACUCUUUCUCAUUCCUAUAAUUUCCUAGUUGGAAGCCCUCGCACUUGGGAAAUUAUUUAAUGUGAUUUUUUCUUCCUGACAUAUAAAUUGUCACAUCACCUUAAAUGUUGGGACUUCAGGUUGGGAAGUGGGUGGAUAAUAUUCUUGAGGAAGCUGCCUUCCUUUUAUAGAUAAUGUUACCUCCUUGUAAAAGUUGCUUUCUAUGUAAAAGGUUGCUUUCUAUGUAUUAUUCUACUUUUUUUCUAAGAAUAUACCAUAUAAUGAAAACUUUACAGGCUUGACAUCCUAUUACUAAGAUUAUAAUUGUUGAGGUCUUCAACAGAAUUUCAAGUCAAAUAUGUUGUGUUAUAUGCCUAUUUAUAUUUCACUCUUUGAUUCACCUAGUUAGGAUCUCAGAAUUGAACUUUAAUUGCAG
RNAcentral lists this long non-coding RNA (901 nucleotides) under Pan troglodytes (chimpanzee). Its description in RNAcentral is "long non-coding RNA NONPTRT004548". Lineage: Eukaryota; Metazoa; Chordata; Mammalia; Primates; Hominidae. The record is from RNAcentral.